This 697-nucleotide ribosomal RNA is filed under the name uncultured Methanosaeta sp. RNAcentral's name for it is "bacterial SSU rRNA". It matches the Rfam family "Archaeal small subunit ribosomal RNA", at positions 1 to 705 of the family's 1478-position model. The record is from RNAcentral. Lineage: Archaea; Methanobacteriati; Methanobacteriota; Methanomicrobia; Methanotrichales; Methanotrichaceae.
UCUGGUUGAUCCUGGCGGAGGUUACUGCUAUCGAGGUUCGACUAAGCCAUGCGAGUCGAAUGUAGCAAUACAUGGCGUACUGCUCAGUAACACGUGAACAACCUACCCUUAGGUCGGGGAUAAACCCGGGAAACUGGGUAUAAUACCCGAUAGUCCUCGAAUGCUGGAAUGCAUCGAGGUCUAAAGCUCCGGCGCCUAAGGAUGGGUCUGCGGCCUAUCAGGUAGUAGUGGGUGUAGCGUACCUACUAGCCUACGACGGGUACGGGUUGUGAGAGCAAGAGCCCGGAGAUGGAUUCUGAGACACGAAUCCAGGCCCUACGGGGUGCAGCAGGCGCGAAAACUUUACAAUGCUGGCAACAGCGAUAAGGGGACCUCGAGUGCCUGGUUACAAAUCUGGCUGUCGUGAUGCCUAAAAAGCAUUGCAUAGCAAGGGCCGGGCAAGACCGGUGCCAGCCGCCGCGGUAACACCGGCGGCUCGAGUGGUAACCGUUAUUAUUGGGUCUAAAGGGUCUGUAGCCGGCCGGAUAAGUCUCUUGGGAAAUCUGGCAGCUUAACUGUCAGGCUUUCAGGAGAUACUGUCUGGCUCGAGGCCGGGAGAGGUGAGAGGUACUUCAGGGGUAGGGGUGAAAUCUUGUAAUCCUUGAAGGACCACCAGUGGCGAAGGCGUCUCACCAGAACGGACCUGACGGCAAGGGAC